CCACCAGGCCUGUCAGCAGAGUUAAGUCACAGCACAGCUGGCCAAUACUGGAGGAAAGGAGCUGACUCCCAGAGGAGCCGCGAGGUUCGGCCAGCAUCUACCACCAAGAUGGGGACAGGGUACCUGCAGGAUGGGGCCCUGUACUCAUGCCCUCUUGACGCCACCGUGCCCACUGCACGACUGGGACAGUGAAUGGACAGUGCAGCUACCCCAGCCUGAGAAGGAACAGGAAAGGGGGCUCAGAACCUCAGGAACGAGGGAGAUUCAAGGCCCGAGUUCCGGUCCAGCGCAGCAUGGAAAGAGGCAGACUCCGGAAUGCUCUCCCGAGGUUCCGAGGUGCGGUGAAGGCCGUCUGAAAAUGCCGCCCCAAACCCAGCAAGAUUCCCAAGCCACAGUCUACUCACACGUGGUGUCCCAGAAUCUUCCAUCACGGCAUAUGCCUCCAUGAGUGAUCCAUCUCCUGCAAGCAGUCAUGGGGGUUUCCGAUUCUGCUGUGAAAACGUUCCAGUACUGGUGAACAGAUAUACACAUCGCCACUUGGUUCUUAGAACUCUCUUUUAUUGAUAGAUAAAAACAGACCCAAUGGAGCAAGUGGUGCACUCAGGGGAAUCACAGGACCCUACAUCCCUCUUCCCCUUGCCCAUGGCCUUGGUGACUUCCAUUGUUUCCCUUCUCCCCUGGGGAACUGCCAGGAGGCAAGGCCCAGGUGGCCGGCAGAUCGGCUGGGCAGACCCCCUGCCUGAGGUUCUGGCGGCUGCUGCAAGCUGUGCAGGACAAAGGAUGUUGGUGUGCUCCCUGCCUGCAGGUUCUGUGCUAUAACCCGAGGCCAGUGGUGGAAGAGCUCUUAGGAUGAUGGGGGGCGGGGGGAAGCACCCCAGCUGCUGGCCUCCCCAUCACUGCUGCCAACGGCACCCUGCCCCGGGAGAAGCCUGGUGGCACUGCUGGCAGUCCCAUUCCACAGUGGCUGGAAGCACCGAGGGACUCACAGCCCAGGGUGGAGGGAACCAGGAGUAGCCCACGAGGUGUGCCUCUAGGCCGUCUGCUUCC
Molecule: long non-coding RNA, 1047 nt
Filed under: Equus asinus (donkey)
Lineage: Eukaryota; Metazoa; Chordata; Mammalia; Perissodactyla; Equidae
Description: lncRNA (ENSEASG00005023710.1)
Source: RNAcentral